GAAGCUGCAGACCUUCGCGAAUCAAGACAACUCACCAGAAAAAGGACUGAGAACUCCUUCUGGAUGAAGAUACUUCCUAGGUGCAAGAGAGUUGAGUUAAGGCUAAAGCUCUAUAACCAUUGAAAGCUGGCUGGGGGAAAAGAAGAAGAGGCAAAAAGAUCAACUGAAGAAUAAACUGCUGUCAUUGGCACAAAAGAAUACCACAAAGAUUAUUUACAAAACUCGAAUCAGGAGUAGAACAGACCUCCAUGUGGAAGUUCAAUUAUGCUAAGAGGAAAGAGGAAAGGGGAAGAGUUUACAGAAAUAAAUUAAUGAUGAUGAUAAACUAUUUUCAAGCCCUUACAUUUUUUUUUUUUAUGGAGUUUCGCUCUGUCACCCAUGCUGGAGUGCAAUGGCAUGAUCUCAGCUCUCUGCAAUCUCCACCUCCCUGAUUCAAGCAAUUCUCCUGCCACAGCCUCCCGAGCAGCUGGGAUUACAGGCAUG
RNAcentral lists this long non-coding RNA (483 nucleotides) under Homo sapiens (human). RNAcentral's name for it is "HSALNT0059107". Lineage: Eukaryota; Metazoa; Chordata; Mammalia; Primates; Hominidae. The record is from RNAcentral.